This 435-nucleotide ribosomal RNA is filed under the name uncultured bacterium. RNAcentral's name for it is "bacterial SSU rRNA". It matches the Rfam family "Bacterial small subunit ribosomal RNA", at positions 339 to 791 of the family's 1533-position model. The record is from RNAcentral.
GUACGGGAGGCAGCAGUGGGGAAUAUUGCGCAAUGGGGGAAACCCUGACGCAGCAACGCCGCGUGGAGGAAGAAGGUUUUCGGAUUGUAAACUCCUGUCUUCUGGGACGAUAAUGACGGUACCAGAGGAGGAAGCCACGGCUAACUACGUGCCAGCAGCCGCGGUAAUACGUAGGUGGCGAGCGUUGUCCGGAAUUACUGGGCGUAAAGGGCGCGUAGGCGGCUCUUUAAGUUAGAUGUGAAAACCCGAGGCUUAACUUCGGGAGUGCAUUUAAAACUGGAGGGCUGGAGUGCAGGAGAGGUAAGUGGAAUUCCUAGUGUAGCGGUGAAAUGCGUAGAUAUUAGGAGGAACACCAGUGGCGAAGGCGACUUACUGGACUGUAACUGACGCUGAGGCGCGAAAGCGUGGGGAGCAAACAGGAUUAGAUACCCCGGU